Molecule: small RNA, 140 nt
Filed under: Humidesulfovibrio mexicanus
Lineage: Bacteria; Pseudomonadati; Thermodesulfobacteriota; Desulfovibrionia; Desulfovibrionales; Desulfovibrionaceae
Description: Desulfovibrio mexicanus c-di-AMP sequence
Rfam family: c-di-AMP riboswitch aptamer (ydaO/yuaA leader)
About the family: This family represents a conserved RNA structure found upstream of the ydaO and yuaA genes in Bacillus subtilis and related genes in other bacteria.
Source: RNAcentral
GUGCGGAUUCUGCCGAAUCCCGGAAGCGUUUUCCGGGAGCGGGGGACCCACUCCCUUGGGGCGCAUCGCUUGAAAAAGCGUAGGACACCUUUCGGUCCGAGCCCGUCAGCUAACCUCGCAGGCGUCGAAGGGGAAGACCU